CGACCUGUUUAGGGGUGCUGGCUCGGAGAUAAUCCUGGCCGGCUGAGAUUACACCCAUUGAACCGGAACCGGAUAAUGCCGGCGUCGGGAAAAACAAUCCGCGAACGU
This 108-nucleotide non-coding RNA is filed under the name Hymenobacter sp. Its description in RNAcentral is "TPP sequence". It matches the Rfam family "TPP riboswitch aptamer (THI element)". From Rfam's summary of the family: Vitamin B(1) in its active form thiamin pyrophosphate (TPP) is an essential coenzyme that is synthesised by coupling of pyrimidine and thiazole moieties in bacteria. The previously detected thiamin-regulatory element, thi box was extended, resulting in a new, highly conserved RNA secondary structure, the THI element, which is widely distributed in eubacteria and also occurs in some archaea. Analysis of operon structures identified a large number of new candidate thiamin-regulated genes, mostly transporters, in various prokaryotic organisms. The record is from RNAcentral. Lineage: Bacteria; Pseudomonadati; Bacteroidota; Cytophagia; Cytophagales; Hymenobacteraceae.